GAUCAUGGCUCAGGAUGAACGCUAGCUACAGGCUUAACACAUGCAAGUCGGAGGGGCAGCAUGACCUAGUCAAUAGGUUGAUGGCGACCGGCGCACGGGUGAGUAACACGUAUCCAACCUACCGGUUAUUCCGGGAUAGCCUUUCGAAAGAAAGAUUAAUACCGGAUAGUAUAACGAGAAGGCAUCUUCUUGUUAUUAAAGAAUUUCGAUAACCGAUGGGGAUGCGGUUCCAUUAGUUUGUUGGCGGGGUAACGGCCC
RNAcentral lists this ribosomal RNA (258 nucleotides) under uncultured bacterium. Its description in RNAcentral is "partial 16S ribosomal RNA". It matches the Rfam family "Bacterial small subunit ribosomal RNA", at positions 15 to 266 of the family's 1533-position model. The record is from RNAcentral.